UAACUUUUGGUACACUUGUUAUGUCAUCCAACAAAUGGGUUUAUCAUUGUUUUAUAACAAUUGGUAUAUCUAUGUCUUGUUGGUAUUUCUUGAUAAAUUUCUGAUUAAGGGGAAAUAGAUUGCAUGAAGUUUACUAUCUUUUUGAUGACAAAAUUUCAAAACAACUCUCUGUAUUGGCAAUGUUAUUUUCUUUAAACUCUCAUGCCACUAAUAUCUUUCAAUCCAAAUCUUGUGGAAAAUGAUAUCUUAGAAAAUAUUUGUAUUACUUUGGAGCAACUAAUAAGUGUCAUGCAAGGAAUCUGUAAUUGCAUUUGAG
RNAcentral lists this long non-coding RNA (316 nucleotides) under Nicotiana benthamiana. RNAcentral describes it as "long non-coding RNA (NBEN_LNC035254)". The record is from RNAcentral. Lineage: Eukaryota; Viridiplantae; Streptophyta; Magnoliopsida; Solanales; Solanaceae.